Molecule: long non-coding RNA, 674 nt
Organism: Branchiostoma belcheri (Belcher's lancelet)
Lineage: Eukaryota; Metazoa; Chordata; Leptocardii; Amphioxiformes; Branchiostomatidae
Exons: 2
Source: RefSeq, a predicted model, not a curated record
CAGUUCCGGCAGCAGCAGUGCCUUGUGGGUAAUCUGAGAAAACCCCGGGGGAGAUUCAAACUCAACGGUCACUUUCAGUGACCGCUUGCUUGAGUGUGCGUCCCUUUCUAUCGUCCCGCUGGCUGUCCAUAUAUAUCCGCUGCAUAUAAGUUCAGCAACCACGGCAUUGAUUGUCAAAGUCUAGGAUACUGACCGUACACCGACUGGACGCUAUGAGGUAUCAGUGGCCGAGACAAAGACGAGAGACGUACCGGGGACAUCGCCCUAUACGUCGCCCGGCGAGGGCACGAAGCCGCCAGGCAUGUCAUGACACGUUGCAGACUCGCCUGACGAACAGUUCAACUGGACCAUAAACCGACUGCAUAAGACUGUUGACGCGCAUAUAGAAGUCAGAAGCGACUGAUUGAACGUGGUAAGACUGUCUUCAGCGCAGACUUCUACAAAGACCAUCCUGAUGUGGGACUAGGAGACAGAUGAUGGCUGUAACAACACAUAGACUGUGAGACGAUCAUCCUGGCGAAGCAAGACGUGAUAGUUCUAGUUCUACCUGUUUAGCAUUGCAAAUAUUCAUUUUACAUAUGGUACAUGUAUUCGUAUAGUUAGUUCUCUCUUUUUUGUCGCUUUACACCGUGAGUAUGUGCGGAGUUUUAAUAAAGGCUUUCAGGCUAAAUCUA